RNAcentral lists this ribosomal RNA (520 nucleotides) under uncultured eukaryote. Its description in RNAcentral is "bacterial SSU rRNA". It matches the Rfam family "Eukaryotic small subunit ribosomal RNA", at positions 34 to 577 of the family's 1831-position model. The record is from RNAcentral.
GGGGUCUUAGACUUAGCAUGCAUGUCUAAGAUAAAUCUGAAUCUGCGAAUGGCUCAUUAAAACAGUUAUAGUUUAUUUGGUAUUGGAAUUUAUAUGGAUAACCGUACUAAUUGUAGAGCUAAUACAUGCGUUACGCCUGACUUUUGGAAGGGCAGUAUUUAUUAGAUAACAAAUCAAUAUUCCUCUGGUCUAUUUGAUGACUCAUAAUAACUGAGCGAAUCGGCGGUCGUCUGCCGAUAAACCAUUCAAGUUUCUGCCCCAUCAGCUUGAUGGUAGUGUAUUGGACUACCAUGGCUUUCACGGGUAACGGGGGAUUAGGGUUCGACACCGGAGAGGGAGCCUGAGAAACGGCUACCACUUCUACGGAAGGCAGCAGGCGCGUAAAUUACCCAAUCCUAAUUCAGGGAGGUAGUGACAAGAAAUAACGGACCGGGUAUUUACCCGGGUUUGGAAUGAGCCUAAUUUACACACCUUAGUGAGGAUCCAUUGGAGGGCAAGUCUGGUCCCCCCGUGCCCCCGC